This 333-nucleotide ribosomal RNA is filed under the name Triticum aestivum (bread wheat). RNAcentral describes it as "partial small subunit ribosomal RNA". Lineage: Eukaryota; Viridiplantae; Streptophyta; Magnoliopsida; Poales; Poaceae. The record is from RNAcentral.
AUGGCACUCCAUAAAUGCAAACAAGGGCAGGAAUGGAUCAAUUACAAUAAUAUCUACAAAACAUCCUUACUGAACAUCUCCAAAAUAUGCAUGAAUCUCUCUGUAGCAUCAAGUUUACAUGGCAACAAAAUAACAGCAGACAAGGACUUAAGAGAAAUUACUAAGUCCCUGAAAUCAGAAACAUUACGGGGCCUAGUUUGCAUGCUUGUGCUAGUCACCACAGAGAUCACAAAAAUACAUAACAGCAGACAACUAGCAAGCAAAGAUAGAAGUGAUUUCGAGGGUAUGGUCAUCUUGCCUGAUAUCCCGCAAGGAAGAAGAUCGAAUCCAUGA